This 504-nucleotide ribosomal RNA is filed under the name Phoma sp. ST6a. RNAcentral describes it as "eukaryotic LSU rRNA". The stretch from base 154 to 307 matches the Rfam family "5.8S ribosomal RNA". The record is from RNAcentral. Lineage: Eukaryota; Fungi; Ascomycota; Dothideomycetes; Pleosporales; Didymellaceae.
AAGGAUCAUUACCUAGAGUUGUAGGCUUUGCCCUGCUAUCUCUUACCCAUGUCUUUUGAGUACCUUCGUUUCCUCGGCGGGUUCGCCCCGCCGAUUGGACAAUUUAAACCCAUUUGCAGUUGCAAUCAGCGUCUGAAAAAACAUAAUAGUUACAACUUUCAACAACGGAUCUCUUGGUUCUGGCAUCGAUGAAGAACGCAGCGAAAUGCGAUAAGUAGUGUGAAUUGCAGAAUUCAGUGAAUCAUCGAAUCUUUGAACGCACAUUGCGCCCCUUGGUAUUCCAUGGGGCAUGCCUGUUCGAGCGUCAUUUGUACCUUCAAGCUCUGCUUGGUGUUGGGUGUUUGUCUCGCCUCUGCGUGUAGACUCGCCUCAAAACAAUUGGCAGCCGGCGUAUUGAUUUCGGAGCGCAGUACAUCUCGCGCUUUGCACUCAGAACGACGACGUCCAAAAGUACAUUUUUACACUCUUGACCUCGGAUCAGGUAGGGAUACCCGCUGAACUUAA